Molecule: ribosomal RNA, 1321 nt
Filed under: Triticum aestivum (bread wheat)
Lineage: Eukaryota; Viridiplantae; Streptophyta; Magnoliopsida; Poales; Poaceae
Description: partial small subunit ribosomal RNA
Source: RNAcentral
GUGGAGAGAGAGAGUAAAGAGAGAGAGGGUGCGCUAGGGGUUUAGCGGCGGGGACGGCGGCCGGAGGGGACGGUUGAGGCCGCUCGAGACCGCGGCAGGUCGUAUGGGUGCCGAGGGGGAGUGGCUCGAGAUGGACGAGGUGGAGAAGCUAGACGAAAGGGGACGGAGCACACCAGCGAGCGAAGCCAGUUUGGAGCGAUCCCAAAGCCACGAACGCCCCGAUCCAGCGGCCGCACCAAGGCCGCGGAACGAGGCCACACUGAACUUAGGACCGACACGGAUCCACAGCGUGCGCAGUGACUACGCCGGGACCAGCGACCGCUACGCCGCCAGCGGACGGAGAGGUGCCGAAGCGCAUGGAGCGGAGGACGGCGGCACACUACCGCCACUCAACCGGUGUGGCGUUGGCGCCGCCACCGCUACGUGCCGGAACCGAUAUUGGGGAAGUACAACGAGGAACUAGCAUUGGUUCGGGUACUACGACCAGACUCCGAGGAACUGGAAUUGCUGAACCGAGAGGUUCGUUGUUUUAGUCAAGUCGACGCGAGAACCAAGGAGAAAGAACGAAUAACCAGUCUAAGACUUAGAUCUAAGAUGAUAAAACCAAGUAUAAGGUAACUAAACCAUGCGAUGUAGAUGUAACUACGUAGUUGAGACGAGGUAUUUAUACCUAUGUACAAACGUCCGUCAAAAGAAGCUGUCAAAACACAACGGUAACGAGGGUCAGUAGUCUAAGACAAUUAACUUUUCCUAGGUUUGUUCCGUCAAGGUAACAAGACUCGUCGAGAAUUGUCACCACUUGUUAACUCUCACGUAACUUCCUAUACCGAUGACAUGACUUUGUUCGUUUGGCCCGACUUCUUCGGUAGCUACGCUAUUCUAGGAAGGCACUGGCAACAGGUUUACUUCGAGCCCUCAGAGAACUGUUAUAAGAAGAACUGGAUAUGUUCUUUACGCCAUCCUGUUUUCUUGUCUAACUUUACGAGGUCCAAGAAAACUCAAGGAUCAUCACCAGAACCAAGUAAUAAAUUAAGGUCCUAAACACUCAAGGAUCAUCCCUUGUGUACCUGUACUUCGGUGCCGCCGCUGCUUAUGCUAUAGCUGUAACCCGACGCCGCUGCUACUACUGCUGCUGUAGCCGUAGCUGUGUCCCGAUGUCGCCGCUGCUUCUGCUGCUGUAGCAGUACCACGACGACGCCGUCACUGCUGCUGCUGUAGUUGUGCCGGAACACCUCCGCGGCUGCGGCUGCUGUAUCUGCGCACCGUAUAUAACACACACACAAACACGCGCACGCACACACACACGCACACGCACACAAUU